This 467-nucleotide ribosomal RNA is filed under the name uncultured bacterium. Its description in RNAcentral is "partial 16S ribosomal RNA". It matches the Rfam family "Bacterial small subunit ribosomal RNA", at positions 28 to 507 of the family's 1533-position model. The record is from RNAcentral.
GACGAACGCUGGCGGCGUGCUUAACACAUGCAAGUCGAACGGAAAGGCCCUGCUUUUGUGGGGUGCUCGAGUGGCGAACGGGUGAGUAACACGUGAGUAACCUGCCCUUGACUUUGGGAUAACUUCAGGAAACUGGGGCUAAUACCGGAUAGGAGCUCCUGCUGCAUGGUGGGGGUUGGAAAGUUUCGGCGGUUGGGGAUGGACUCGCGGCUUAUCAGCUUGUUGGUGGGGUAGUGGCUUACCAAGGCUUUGACGGGUAGCCGGCCUGAGAGGGUGACCGGCACAAUGGGACUGAGAUACGGCCCAGACUCCUACGGGAGGCAGCAGUGGGGAAUAUUGCACAAUGGGCGGAAGCCUGAUGCAGCAACGCCGCGUGCGGGAUGACGGCCUUCGGGUUGUAAACCGCUUUCGCCUGUGACGAAGCGUGAGUGACGGUAAUGGGUAAAGAAGCACCGGCUAACUACGUG